CUUUGCCAUCUUCGUCAGAAGUUGUCAACUCAAGGGUUGGCAUCCAGCACAGUUGGUGAUAAAGGGGUCUGUUUCCUUGCCCUGCCAUAUGGCGCGGCAAAAAAUCUACGUAGCUGCGAAUGCCGACAAUAGGUAAAUCCGAACUCCGCAAAGCGCAG
This 158-nucleotide non-coding RNA is filed under the name unclassified sequences. Its description in RNAcentral is "RT-14 RNA". It matches the Rfam family "RT-14 RNA". Rfam says of the family: Cloacimonetes, Firmicutes, Proteobacteria. Nearby to self-splicing intron genes The record is from Rfam by way of RNAcentral.